AACGAACGCUGGCGGCAUGCCUAAUACAUGCAAGUCGAACGAGAUCUUCGGAUCUAGUGGCGCACGGGUGCGUAACGCGUGGGAAUCUGCCCUUGGGUUCGGAAUAACUUCUGGAAACGGAAGCUAAUACCGGAUGAUGACGUAAGUCCAAAGAUUUAUCGCCCAAGGAUGAGCCCGCGUAGGAUUAGCUAGUUGGUGGGGUAAAGGCCCACCAAGGCGACGAUCCUUAGCUGGUCUGAGAGGAUGAUCAGCCACACUGGGACUGAGACACGGCCCAGACUCCUACGGGGGGCAGCAGUAGGGAAUAAUGGACAAUGGGGGAAACCCUGAUCCAGCAAUGCCGCGUGAGUGAUGAAGGCCUUAGGGUUGUAAAGCUCUUUUACCCGGGAUGAUAAUGACAGUACCGGGAGAAUAAGCUCCGGCUAACUCCGUG
This 433-nucleotide ribosomal RNA is filed under the name uncultured bacterium. Its description in RNAcentral is "partial 16S ribosomal RNA". It matches the Rfam family "Bacterial small subunit ribosomal RNA", at positions 29 to 507 of the family's 1533-position model. The record is from RNAcentral.